This 497-nucleotide ribosomal RNA is filed under the name uncultured bacterium. RNAcentral's name for it is "partial 16S ribosomal RNA". It matches the Rfam family "Bacterial small subunit ribosomal RNA", at positions 28 to 507 of the family's 1533-position model. The record is from RNAcentral.
GAUGAACGCUGGCGGCGUGCCUAAUACAUGCAAGUCGAGCGAACGGACGAGAAGCUUGCUUCUCUGAUGUUAGCGGCGGACGGGUGAGUAGCACGUGGAUAACCUACCUAUAAGACUGGGAUAACUUCGGGAAACCGGAGCUAAUACCGGAAAAUAUUUUGAACCGCAUGGUUCAAAAGUGAAAGACGGUCUUGCUGUCACUUAUAGAUGGAUCCGCGCUGCAUUAGCUAGUUGGUAAGGUAACGGCUUACCAAGGCAACGAUGCAUAACCGACCUGAGAGGGUGAUCGGCCACACUGGAACUGAGACACGGUCCAGACUCCUACGGGAGGCAGCAGUAGGGAAUCUUCCGCAAUGGGCGAAAGCCUGACGGAGCAACGCCGCGUGAGUGAUGAAGGUCUUCGGAUCGUAAAACUCUGUUAUUAGGGAAGAACAUAUGUGUAAGUAACUGUGCACAUCUUGACGGUACCUAAUCAGAAAGCCACGGCUAACUACGUG